CUCCUCUGUUUUCUUUCCUAG
Molecule: microRNA, 21 nt
Filed under: Homo sapiens (human)
Lineage: Eukaryota; Metazoa; Chordata; Mammalia; Primates; Hominidae
Description: hsa-miR-6780a-3p
Source: miRBase by way of RNAcentral